This is a long non-coding RNA of Mya arenaria, 4117 nucleotides long. RefSeq lists it as uncharacterized. NCBI's taxonomy places the organism in Eukaryota, Metazoa, Mollusca, Bivalvia, Myida, Myidae. The record is from RefSeq and is a predicted model, not a curated record. The transcript has 3 exons.
GGAGUUAAACGGGUCAUUUGACUUAUAUUGACUACCAAUAAACUGUUUAGAAUGGAAAUGAUCAAAGACUAUUAUAGCCUUCUUCAUUGACGUAUAUGUGUGUGAUUUUAGAUGUGGAAAUACCUUUAAGCUCUAAAGGGAAUUAGAAUGAGUCAUAUAAAGCUUUGAAUCAGCGGAUGUGUCGAUUUAUAUACAGUCAUACUCAGAAAAAAGACGGAAUAGUAAACAAACAUAAAAGUUCUUCAAAAACAUUCUUGCGAAAAAUAACUAUAUCUAUAUGCAGCUUUAAUAAAGGAAUCAAAACACCACGACAAUGGAAGUUUGUAAUAGCAUUUUGGAUGUCUGUUCUUUCGUGGAUCUUGCUCCGUGUCCACCUCCGGACAUCGAGGCCCACACGUUUUACGAGUAUUUGGCCGCAAGAAACUUGACCAUGCAGGUUGUGUUACACAUUGCGGUACAGUGUGGUAUAUCAGCUAUACCACCGAUUUUUACAGAUCGGACUACUUUGGACACCUUAUCUUCCACUGAGUUAUAUUGGACAACUCAAACCCAUUCGACAACGAGGCACACCUAUUCGACAAAUCAAACCGAUUCGACAACGAGGCAAACCGAUUAUGAGAGUAAUAAUGCAAGUUCUCUUUGGAACAAUCCAAUAUUCUUCAUUCCUGUGUGUACGGGAGUUUCAAUAGGGAUCAUCAUUAUCUUCAUCAUCGUUUAGAGAAAGAGCUGGUGUCAUAGAAGCAAUCUGGUACAGAUAAAACAAUAGCAUAUAUGCCAAAUUUAUGUUUUUAAAUUUAUUAAUUCGCAGACGAAUACUUAAAUUAGCUAUAUUUUCAAACAAAAAUUGUACUUAUGUUGCUGUAAAUAAUUAAAUAAAUGCCCAUGCAUAUUCAUCAUGCACAUUUAAAAAAAAAGGAACAAACGAAUGUUCCUACAAUGUUAAAAUCCUUAGUGUGCUUGGAACCAUGCUAUAUUUGGGCAGAGUGAGUGAGCCAAGAUUAUAAGUAUCUUUCAUGGCUGAGAGUGGAAGAUAGGUUCAUCACGACUCAAGCGUAGGGUGCUUUGCGGAAACGAGGUUUACCAGGUUUCCUCAAAACACCAGGCGCGAGGGUUGGGAUGAACCUAUCUUACACGAGCGGCUAUGGUAGAUGCUUUUUCCCUACCUCAGAUUAACAAAAUUAAGUAAAAAUCUAUUUCUUUCUGGAACUCUUGUGUGCGUAUUGAAAAAAAUGCGUAUGGAUAUGUGAUAAUUCGUGGUUGUCAUGGAUAUGAGCGCAGUGGUUCAGAUAAUGUCAGUAGUCAAAUCGGUCUUUAAAUAGUUCUGAGGAGAGUGAAGCUUUGUUUUUUGAAAUGUGCGUGGAAACUUUUUUAUGGUGCCAUUUGAAGCGAGAAGUUAUUAAUAAGGAUUCUUAAAAUUGCUUCUAGACAAGUCUUCAAUGAUUCUACGGAUGACGGUCUUCAACAAGGGAGGUUAUUGUGUGAUGACAAUAAAAAAGGAGUUCCAUACGGGUACUUAAAAAUUGUUUUAUCUUUGCCCGUGGGCAAGAUAAAAAAUUCUAGCAUGGUUAUAGUUUUGGAUCUACUUAUCUGAGGUGGGCGAUAAUGUCUUUACUAAGGUCAUGUCCGGGGGUCCUUUCUUCAGAAAGGAUCUUUGUCGUAAAGUGAAUUUAUGUUAGUGCCAUGUUUUUUCUAUAUAUUUGAGUGAACUAAAUUUCCGUUAUUAUUACAAUUAAAAGUAACGCGUGACAUCAAUAGUUACAACUUAAGAUCCUUUAAUGAAUGACUUUUCAUGUUGCAGCGCAUAUAUGAAGUAUCAAUAGCAAUGAGUUAUAUGGCAAAAAAUAAGUCAGUUGAUCGUAAAGAAGACAUUUUUAGCGGACGUGAAAGGCAAUGAACUCACUCACACUUUUCUAAGAAUCAAUGGUGAUAAGCAUAACAACAAGGUGAUUGUAAAGUAAAUAUUAAAGUGAAAAUAGAGAAAACCAAAAUGGAACUAUUAUGACCGAACAAAUCGAAUCUAACGAAACUCUUAAUUCUUAUUCUUAUAAAAUGCCAAUAGAAAGUACUUGGUUAUAACUCUAUGGGCCGAUUGUUUGGAACCUUAUUAAUGUUAACAGCCUCAUAAACGCCAUCGUUGUUAUCAUGGUUUUUUGAUUGGUGCGCAUGCGUGGCAAUGGCUGCAGGUUAUUUUGUAAAGGAAUUAAAAUAAUGUUUGAUAAUAUAAAUAAGGGGAAAAUAGUGGAUAUAUGUGUUAAAUCUUAGUUUAGUGAAGUGGUGAAGUCAUAGCUGAUAGUUUGUACUUAGACUGUGUACAUUUCGCCCAUGGGUAGGGCCAGAAAACGCAAGAAGAGUAAAGGGUCACCGCAAAACAAAGAGUCGGAAAAAAGGCGCGUAAAUAAAACGACACCAAAACAAAUGGCACAGGCCACCCCGACAGUGCUAAUGCAGAUCCAAGGUUCUUAUCAACAAGGUAUGAAUAUGCAAAUGAACAAUUAUAAUCAAAAUGGACAAUGUUUUAACACCAGCACCAAUGCCCUUUGGUGUUAGCCAGCAGUAUCCACCGGAAGUGAUGGAGGCCGGAAAGCUACUCGUCCCUACUAUGCUCAACGCGCGCCGUCAGGAUAAAGAGGCCUUCAUCAGCGGGAGCAGAUUAUUCAUAAAUGGUCAACUUUAUCGAGAUGCAGGGACCGGGACCGGAAACGGAAACCUCUAGGACGAAGGCCAUGAUGUCAUACGGUGUGUGACUUGGAAUGUUGAGGGACUUACGCAGCUGAAACAGGGAAAAAAAUCAAAUAUUUUAAGCAAAUAUUAUUUAAUAUUUUUAAGCUUAACCUGGACUAACAAAAAUUCUACAAUUGAUUUGAAAUGUUUUAAGCUGUUUCAUUCAUUUAGAAAGUUUCAAAAUAGAAGAGCAAAUCGAAAUAGUGGGGAAAUUGCGGUAUAUGUUCGUAAUACUAUAUUGAAAGGAAUUGAUAGACAAAAAGUUCAAUCUUGUAACUAUCUUGGUAUUGUUUUGUCAAGCGGAGGAUCAUUUAUGAACUCUACACAGCCAUUAGAAGAUAAAGGACUUAAGGCUUUGGGAAAUUCGUUUGGGAUUACUAGGGGGGAAGAAAUUCCUGUUAAAAUUAUGUUGGGUUUAUUCGACUCAUUUGUGUCAUCAAUGUUGUGCUAUUCCUGCGAAGUAUGGGGCUUUGGUAGAGCUGAAAAUAUGGAAAGGGUUCAUAGAAAAUUUCUGAAACGACUUCUUGGUCUGAAAAGAAGCACUAGUAACUUACUAGACAUGUACGAAUCGUAAAAUAUUUCCUAAAACUGUAUCAAUUUAAAAGAGACAAUUGCAUUUUAUACAAAACAUUGCAAAUCCUUCGAUACGAUGCAGAAAAUAAUGCAAAUUCAAACAAUUGAUGUUCAAAUGUACACACUAUAUUACAAAAUGCAGGAUUCAUGUAGCAUGGUUAUAUCCGGAGUCGAUAAUUGUUGAUUAUUUUAUUCCUAUUUUUAGGAAAAGAUUAAUCGACUCAUUUAUUGAGCAUUGAAAAAAUGAUAAAUACUCAUUAAGUUCACUUAUGUUACACAGCGAACUAAAAUCUACUAUUCAUAUGUCAUCGUAUAAGGAUAAAUUAUACAGCUAUAGAAUUAGGAUUAUUAUUGCUAGGUUAAGAUUGUCCUUUCAUAUGUUAAAUGUUGAGAGAGGCAGAUAUGUUAAUAUUGAAUGAAAUCAACGAAAAUGUGUUCUAUGUGUUCAUAAUGAUAUUGAAGACGAAUAUCACUUUGUGUAUAUUUGUCCGCAAUAUAAUGAUAUUAGGAAAAAAAUACACAAAUAAAUUUUACUAUACAAGACCAAGCAUGUUAAAAUUCAUUCAAUUAUUAAACUCGGGAAAUACUGCAUGUCUACGAAAACUAGCUUUGUAUUGCAAACAUGCUUUUAAGCUACGAUAUAAUGCUUUGAAUAAUAGUGCUUAACUAUGUUGCUUUUAACAUGUUGAAAUCAUUGAUAAUUUAUAUAUGUAUAUAAUAUGUAUAUGCACUCUCGCAUUUUUCAACUAUUGCCAUGCCAUGUGUUAAGUUAUUGUAAUAACGAUGAACUUUAUAUGUUCAAGUUAACAAUAAAUGUUCUGUU